UCCGAUGUACCAGGCCCAGACAAGGAAAGGAUUGACAGAUUGAUAGCUCUUUCUCAAUUCUGUGGGUGGUGGUGCAUGGCCGUUCUUAGUUGGUGGAGCGAUUUGUCUGGUCAAUUCCGAUAACGAACGAGACUCCGGCAUGCUAACUAGUUACACGGCCCCGUGCGGUCGGCGUCAACUUCUUAGAGGGACAAGUGGCGUUCAGCCACAUGAGAUUGAGC
Thalassophryne amazonica is the source of this 221-nucleotide long non-coding RNA. RefSeq lists it as uncharacterized. Lineage: Eukaryota; Metazoa; Chordata; Actinopteri; Batrachoidiformes; Batrachoididae. The transcript has 3 exons. The record is from RefSeq and is a predicted model, not a curated record.